Molecule: ribosomal RNA, 1894 nt
Filed under: Salmonella enterica
Lineage: Bacteria; Pseudomonadati; Pseudomonadota; Gammaproteobacteria; Enterobacterales; Enterobacteriaceae
Description: partial 23S ribosomal RNA
Rfam family: Bacterial large subunit ribosomal RNA
Source: RNAcentral
CCAUCCCGGCUUACCAACCCGAUGCAAACUGCGAAUACCGGAGAAUGUUAUCACGGGAGACACACGGCGGGUGCUAACGUCCGUCGUGAAGAGGGAAACAACCCAGACCGCCAGCUAAGGUCCCAAAGUCAUGGUUAAGUGGGAAACGAUGUGGGAAGGCCCAGACAGCCAGGAUGUUGGCUUAGAAGCAGCCAUCAUUUAAAGAAAGCGUAAUAGCUCACUGGUCGAGUCGGCCUGCGCGGAAGAUGUAACGGGGCUAAACCAUGCACCGAAGCUGCGGCAGCGACACUGUGUGUUGUUGGGUAGGGGAGCGUUCUGUAAGCCUGUGAAGGUGUGUCGUGAGGCAUGCUGGAGGUAUCAGAAGUGCGAAUGCUGACAUAAGUAACGAUAAAGCGGGUGAAAAGCCCGCUCGCCGGAAGACCAAGGGUUCCUGUCCAACGUUAAUCGGGGCAGGGUGAGUCGACCCCUAAGGCGAGGCCGAAAGGCGUAGUCGAUGGGAAACGGGUUAAUAUUCCCGUACUUGGUGUUACUGCGAAGGGGGGACGGAGAAGGCUAUGUUGGCCGGGCGACGGUUGUCCCGGUUUAAGCGUGUAGGUGUGUGUUCCAGGUAAAUCCGGUUCACUUUAACACUGAGGCGUGACGACGAGGCACUACGGUGCUGAAGCAACAAAUGCCCUGCUUCCAGGAAAAGCCUCUAAGCAUCAGGUAACAUCAAAUCGUACCCCAAACCGACACAGGUGGUCAGGUAGAGAAUACCAAGGCGCUUGAGAGAACUCGGGUGAAGGAACUAGGCAAAAUGGUGCCGUAACUUCGGGAGAAGGCACGCUGACACGUAGGUGAAGUGAUUUACUCAUGGAGCUGAAGUCAGUCGAAGAUACCAGCUGGCUGCAACUGUUUAUUAAAAACACAGCACUGUGCAAACACGAAAGUGGACGUAUACGGUGUGACGCCUGCCCGGUGCCGGAAGGUUAAUUGAUGGGGUCAGCGCAAGCGAAGCUCCUGAUCGAAGCCCCGGUAAACGGCGGCCGUAACUAUAACGGUCCUAAGGUAGCGAAAUUCCUUGUCGGGUAAGUUCCGACCUGCACGAAUGGCGUAAUGAUGGCCAGGCUGUCUCCACCCGAGACUCAGUGAAAUUGAACUCGCUGUGAAGAUGCAGUGUACCCGCGGCAAGACGGAAAGACCCCGUGAACCUUUACUAUAGCUUGACACUGAACAUUGAGCCUUGAUGUGUAGGAUAGGUGGGAGGCUUUGAAGUGUGGACGCCAGUCUGCAUGGAGCCGACCUUGAAAUACCACCCUUUAAUGUUUGAUGUUCUAACGUGGACCCGUUACCCGGGUUGCGGACAGUGUCUGGUGGGUAGUUUGACUGGGGCGGUCUCCUCCUAAAGAGUAACGGAGGAGCACGAAGGUUGGCUAAUCCUGGUCGGACAUCAGGAGGUUAGUGCAAUGGCAUAAGCCAGCUUGACUGCGAGCGUGACGGCGCGAGCAGGUGCGAAAGCAGGUCAUAGUGAUCCGGUGGUUCUGAAUGGAAGGGCCAUCGCUCAACGGAUAAAAGGUACUCCGGGGAUAACAGGCUGAUACCGCCCAAGAGUUCAUAUCGACGGCGGUGUUUGGCACCUCGAUGUCGGCUCAUCACAUCCUGGGGCUGAAGUAGGUCCCAAGGGUAUGGCUGUUCGCCAUUUAAAGUGGUACGCGAGCUGGGUUUAGAACGUCGUGAGACAGUUCGGUCCCUAUCUGCCGUGGGCGCUGGAGAACUGAGGGGGGCUGCUCCUAGUACGAGAGGACCGGAGUGGACGCAUCACUGGUGUUCGGGUUGUCAUGCCAAUGGCACUGCCCGGUAGCUAAAUGCGGAAGAGAUAAGUGCUGAAAGCAUCUAAGCACGAAACUUGCCCCGA